AUUGAACGCUGGCGGAAUGUUUUACACAUGCAAGUCGAGCGGCAGCGCGGGGCAACCUGGCGGCGAGCGGCGAAUGGGUGAGUAAUACAUCGGAACGUGCCCAGACGUGGGGGAUAACUACUCGAAAGAGUGGCUAAUACCGCAUACGAUCUAAGGAUGAAAGCGGGGGAUCGCAAGACCUCGCGCGUUUGGAGCGGCCGAUGGCAGAUUAGGUAGUUGGUGGGGUAAAGGCUUACCAAGCCCGCGAUCUGUAGCUGGUCUGAGAGGAUGAUCAGCCACACUGGGACUGAGACACGGCCCAGACUCCUACGGGAGGCAGCAGUGGGGAAUUUUGGACAAUGGGCGAAAGCCUGAUCCAGCCAUUCCGCGUGCAGGAUGAAGGCCCUCGGGUUGUAAACUGCUUUGUACAGAACGAAAAAGACUCUUUCUAAUACAGAGAGUCCAUGACGGUACUGUAAGAAUAAGCACCGGCUAACUACGUGCCAGCAGCCGCGGUAAUC
This 500-nucleotide ribosomal RNA is filed under the name uncultured bacterium. Its description in RNAcentral is "bacterial SSU rRNA". It matches the Rfam family "Bacterial small subunit ribosomal RNA", at positions 30 to 525 of the family's 1533-position model. The record is from RNAcentral.